RNAcentral lists this ribosomal RNA (1303 nucleotides) under bacterium. RNAcentral describes it as "bacterial SSU rRNA". It matches the Rfam family "Bacterial small subunit ribosomal RNA", at positions 110 to 1424 of the family's 1533-position model. The record is from RNAcentral.
GUAACACGUGAGCAACCUGCCCCUGACUCUGGGAUAAGCGCUGGAAACGGCGUCUAAUACUGGAUAUGUGACGUGACCGCAUGGUCUGCGUUUGGAAAGAUUUUUCGGUUGGGGAUGGGCUCGCGGCCUAUCAGCUUGUUGGUGAGGUAAUGGCUCACCAAGGCGUCGACGGGUAGCCGGCCUGAGAGGGUGACCGGCCACACUGGGACUGAGACACGGCCCAGACUCCUACGGGAGGCAGCAGUGGGGAAUAUUGCACAAUGGGCGGAAGCCUGAUGCAGCAACGCCGCGUGAGGGAUGACGGCCUUCGGGUUGUAAACCUCUUUUAGCAGGGAAGAAGCGAAAGUGACGGUACCUGCAGAAAAAGCGCCGGCUAACUACGUGCCAGCAGCCGCGGUAAUACGUAGGGCGCAAGCGUUAUCCGGAAUUAUUGGGCGUAAAGAGCUCGUAGGCGGUUUGUCGCGUCUGCUGUGAAAUCCCGAGGCUCAACCUCGGGCCUGCAGUGGGUACGGGCAGACUAGAGUGCGGUAGGGGAGAUUGGAAUUCCUGGUGUAGCGGUGGAAUGCGCAGAUAUCAGGAGGAACACCGAUGGCGAAGGCAGAUCUCUGGGCCGUAACUGACGCUGAGGAGCGAAAGGGUGGGGAGCAAACAGGCUUAGAUACCCUGGUAGUCCACCCCGUAAACGUUGGGAACUAGUUGUGGGGUCCAUUCCACGGAUUCCGUGACGCAGCUAACGCAUUAAGUUCCCCGCCUGGGGAGUACGGCCGCAAGGCUAAAACUCAAAGGAAUUGACGGGGACCCGCACAAGCGGCGGAGCAUGCGGAUUAAUUCGAUGCAACGCGAAGAACCUUACCAAGGCUUGACAUAUACGAGAACGGGCCAGAAAUGGUCAACUCUUUGGACACUCGUAAACAGGUGGUGCAUGGUUGUCGUCAGCUCGUGUCGUGAGAUGUUGGGUUAAGUCCCGCAACGAGCGCAACCCUCGUUCUAUGUUGCCAGCACGUAAUGGUGGGAACUCAUGGGAUACUGCCGGGGUCAACUCGGAGGAAGGUGGGGAUGACGUCAAAUCAUCAUGCCCCUUAUGUCUUGGGCUUCACGCAUGCUACAAUGGCCGGUACAAAGGGCUGCAAUACCGUGAGGUGGAGCGAAUCCCAAAAAGCCGGUCCCAGUUCGGAUUGAGGUCUGCAACUCGACCUCAUGAAGUCGGAGUCGCUAGUAAUCGCAGAUCAGCAACGCUGCGGUGAAUACGUUCCCGGGUCUUGUACACACCGCCCGUCAAGUCAUGAAAGUCGGUAACACCUGA